RNAcentral lists this microRNA precursor (82 nucleotides) under Ovis aries (sheep). RNAcentral describes it as "miRNA (ENSOARG00000025056.1)". Lineage: Eukaryota; Metazoa; Chordata; Mammalia; Artiodactyla; Bovidae. The record is from RNAcentral.
AUUGGGUUGGCAAAAAAGUUCAUUCAGGUUUUUUUAAUAAUAUCUUAUGGAAAAACCCGAAUGAACUUUUUGGUCAACCCGA